This 68-nucleotide transfer RNA is filed under the name Marmota monax (woodchuck). Its description in RNAcentral is "tRNA.Asp". The record is from RNAcentral. Lineage: Eukaryota; Metazoa; Chordata; Mammalia; Rodentia; Sciuridae.
GGUUUGUGGCUCAGUGGUAAAGCACUUGCAUAUCAUGCAUGAGGCACUGAGUUCAAUCCCUGGCACCA